Molecule: long non-coding RNA, 321 nt
Filed under: Capsicum annuum
Lineage: Eukaryota; Viridiplantae; Streptophyta; Magnoliopsida; Solanales; Solanaceae
Description: long non-coding RNA (CANN_LNC020234)
Source: RNAcentral
AACUCCCAAUAUCUAUACUAGUUUGACAAGUCUCUAAGAAAAUCAAUAAAAUCAGCGAGCCAUUGAGACAUGCCCCAACUGACUCAUACUCAGUUAUCAAAUGUAAACAAUUUCGUGAAACCAACACCAGACAUCACGUCCUCGGAACAUGAGGACUCACCACAACAAAGGAUGUAGAACAGCGUGCCCGAAGAAUCACUGUCGAACCUGGAACUGAGCACCUGAACCUACAUUCCGAGAAAAUGCAGCCCACAUCCGAAGAUGUGGGUCAGUACCAUGGAAAGGAACCGAGUAUAUGGGGGUGUAUGCAGUUGCAUAAAC